RNAcentral lists this ribosomal RNA (480 nucleotides) under uncultured bacterium. RNAcentral's name for it is "partial 16S ribosomal RNA". It matches the Rfam family "Bacterial small subunit ribosomal RNA", at positions 28 to 507 of the family's 1533-position model. The record is from RNAcentral.
GAUGAACGCUAGCGGCAGGCCUAACACAUGCAAGUCGAGGGGGAAGUUACUUUCGGGUGACUGAGACCGGCGUACGGGUGCGUAACGCGUAUACAAUCUGCCUUUCACUGGGGGAUAGCCCGAAGAAAUUUGGAUUAAUACCCCAUAGUAUAUAGGGACGGCAUCGUUUUUAUAUUAAAGCUUAGGUGGUGAAAGAUGAGUAUGCGUUCUAUUAGCUAGUUGGAGAGGUAACGGCUCCCCAAGGCGAUGAUAGAUAGGGGUUCUGAGAGGGAUGUCCCCCACACUGGUACUGAGAUACGGACCAGACUCCUACGGGAGGCAGCAGUGAGGAAUAUUGGACAAUGGUCGGAAGACUGAUCCAGCCAUGCCGCGUGCAGGAUGAAGGUCUUAUGGAUUGUAAACUGCUUUUGUAAGGGAAGAAUAAGGGCUACGCGUAGUUUGAUGACGGUACCUUACGAAUAAGCAUCGGCUAACUUCGUG